This 504-nucleotide ribosomal RNA is filed under the name uncultured Actinomycetes bacterium. Its description in RNAcentral is "bacterial SSU rRNA". It matches the Rfam family "Bacterial small subunit ribosomal RNA", at positions 10 to 526 of the family's 1533-position model. The record is from RNAcentral. Lineage: Bacteria; Bacillati; Actinomycetota; Actinomycetes.
AGUUUGAUCCUGGCUCAGGAUGAACGCUGGCGGCGUGCUUAACACAUGCAAGUCGAACGGUGAAGCCCAGCUUGCUGGGUGGAUCAGUGGCGAACGGGUGAGUAACACGUGAGCAAUCUGCCCCUGACUCUGGGAUAAGCGCUGGAAACGGCGUCUAAUACUGGAUACGAACCGUGGAGGCAUCUUCAACGGUUGGAAAGAUUUUUUGGUCAGGGAUGAGCUCGCGGCCUAUCAGCUUGUUGGUGAGGUAAUGGCUCACCAAGGCGUCGACGGGUAGCCGGCCUGAGAGGGUGACCGGCCACACUGGGACUGAGACACGGCCCAGACUCCUACGGGAGGCAGCAGUGGGGAAUAUUGCACAAUGGGCGAAAGCCUGAUGCAGCAACGCCGCGUGAGGGAUGACGGCCUUCGGGUUGUAAACCUCUUUUAGCAGGGAAGAAGCGAAAGUGACGGUACCUGCAGAAAAAGCGCCGGCUAACUACGUGCCAGCAGCCGCGGUAAUAC